This 918-nucleotide ribosomal RNA is filed under the name Triticum aestivum (bread wheat). RNAcentral's name for it is "partial small subunit ribosomal RNA". The record is from RNAcentral. Lineage: Eukaryota; Viridiplantae; Streptophyta; Magnoliopsida; Poales; Poaceae.
AUGACCGGCGCCAAGCCCCUCGUCCUUGCCCUCUCCUCCCCAUCCUCCGGCUCCACGGAGGCCGCGGACGCGGCCGCAGUCAUCGCCGAGAGGUUCUUGCCGGACCUUUUAUACGCGGCGGAGAAGGCGAGGGAGAGGACGCACGAUGUGCCCAGGGAAGACGAGGAGGCAAAACUGAGUCUCAUGGCAAGGGUGGGCAAGUUGGUCGACAAGCAGGGAAUGGUUUCCAGCAUGUCUUGGAAAUGCACUGUGCAAGAAGAUGGGAAGCUUGCAAUCGACAAGGAAGCCAUUGCUGUUGGACAAUCUUUCGCCACGGUUAGAUGGAUCAUGGAAUGGGUAAGGGCUGAAGUGGAUACAUCCAAUGAGAAGGUCAGGGAAAGGGUGCAAUCAGUUGUCUUUGACAUGUCAAUUAGGAUCAACUUUGUUAGUUCACGUGCUCUGUUGGAAACCAGCCCUAAUGUAUUUCUCGUACACGUACACAUAUGUAGUCACCUGAACGAACAUCCUGCGCGUGUUGUACAUGACCGGUACGGCGGCCCUGAUGGGGAGCGAGAACCGCCAUUGGAACGCGGCGGUGAGCCCCUCGGUGAAGACCUGCGCGGAGAGCAGGAACGUGUGCGGGGCCACGGCGGCGAUCCCCGUGGUGUCCCCGGACCGGAGGCCGUCGAGGAUGUAGAGCGCCGGGAACGCGGCGCCGACGAGGAACCCGCCCACGAUGUGCGCGGCGAGGAGGAGGCGCUCGGGGCCGAGGAAGAUGGGCGCAGACGGGUUGGGCUUCCCGGGGCGCUGCGGGAAAUCUGCAAUUUUGGUUUUGUAGCAGCUGCUGUAGAACAGGAUUUUAUCACAUAUCCAGAGAAGGUUCUUGAAAUGAGGAAAGGCUUUAUUGUGCUCGGCAAGGAUGAUGAUUUUUGUGCAUGA